CCUACGGGCGGCAGCAGUGAGGAAUAUUGGUCAAUGGACGAGAGUCUGAACCAGCCAAGUAGCGUGAAGGAUGACUGCCCUAUGGGUUGUAAACUUCUUUUAUAUGGGAGUAAAAUGUUCCACGUGUGGGAUUUUGUAUGUACCAUAUGAAUAAGGAUCGGCUAACUCCGUGCCAGCAGCCGAGGUAAUACGGAGGGUCCGAGCGUUAUCCGGAUUUAUUGGGUUUAAAGGGAGCGUAGGUGGAUUGUUAAGUCAGUUGUGAAAGUAUGCGGCUCAACCGGAAAAUUGCAGUUGAAACUGGCAGUCUUGAGUACAGUAGAGGUGGGCGGAAUUCGUGGUAUAGCGGUGAAAUGCUUAGAGAUCACGAAGAACUCCGAUUGCGAAGGCAGUUCACUGGACUGCAACUGACACUGAGGCUCGAAAGUGUGGGUAUCAAACAGGAUUAGAUACCCGUGUAGUC
This 460-nucleotide ribosomal RNA is filed under the name uncultured bacterium. Its description in RNAcentral is "partial 16S ribosomal RNA". It matches the Rfam family "Bacterial small subunit ribosomal RNA", at positions 338 to 795 of the family's 1533-position model. The record is from RNAcentral.